Molecule: long non-coding RNA, 438 nt
Organism: Antechinus flavipes (yellow-footed antechinus)
Lineage: Eukaryota; Metazoa; Chordata; Mammalia; Dasyuromorphia; Dasyuridae
Exons: 3
Source: RefSeq, a predicted model, not a curated record
CAGAGGUGGAGGCAGAUGGAGAGGCCUCUCAAUGACCACUUCGGGACCUUCCGCUCGGGCCUCCACCCGCGAGAAGCCUUCUUUGCUGGCCCCCAAUUAUGGAGGAUAAGUGAAAACUGUACAAAGCUGAAUACCUCCAGAAAAGCACACCACCAUCAUUAAUGUAUAUGCUCUCCCUAUGAUGAACCCUGCUGAGAUCAAAGAAAAAUAUGGUGAUUUGGAAACUCUCAUCAGUGUGUCAAAAAAGGACAAUCCUGGAUGACUUUAACACCAGAGUAGGUACAGACUAUCAAAUGUGGCAGGGAUUUCUGGAGUAAAGUUGGAAACAAGAAUGGCUGUUUAUUACUGAAGACUUGUGCAUUUCAUGUUCUCAUCACCAACACUGUCUUCUGUUAACCUAAAUGCAAUAAAACUUCAUGAAUGCACAUUUGAAGCAAA